This 282-nucleotide long non-coding RNA is filed under the name Zostera marina. Its description in RNAcentral is "long non-coding RNA (ZMAR_LNC003670)". The record is from RNAcentral. Lineage: Eukaryota; Viridiplantae; Streptophyta; Magnoliopsida; Alismatales; Zosteraceae.
CUCUUAAGUAAACAAAAAAAGCUGUCUGCAUCUGCGACAGCGACACCGCACCAUGCAGCAAUACUUCGCUCAUCAGUGCAGGAAUUGGCAGCAUUGAGAAGUGUCUGAAAUACAGGCGGGGAAUGGCUUGGAACCCGGCUGGAGGCAGAUUCGCGGGCAGAUUCCCCAGAAUCGCAGGUGCCCAGAAAUGCGAAUCCCGCGUAGAAUCUCACGGGCUUCAAGCGCAGAGGAUAUGGAAAAAGGAUGCGCAGUCUCGUUCUGAGGCACGAGAGGCGCAUUGAC